AUUAGAGUGAUGAACAGGAAAAAGCGUAAGGAUUUCCGCUCAGAGAGCCGGUGGUUGCUGCGAACCGGUGCGGGCCCUGUAGCGAACUCACCUGGGAACUGUUUGUGUGAAUGUUUGUAUGCCUUAAAGUGUAUACAGUCCACAUAAUACAAACCGUCGCCGGUCGUUACCCGGAAGCCGCUUGGCGCAAUGAGGCCCAAGUAGGGUGGUACCGCGGAUAAUCCCGCCCCUAUU
This 234-nucleotide non-coding RNA is filed under the name Anaerosporomusa subterranea. RNAcentral's name for it is "Anaerosporomusa subterraneum T-box sequence". It matches the Rfam family "T-box leader". Rfam says of the family: Uncharged tRNA acts as the effector for transcription antitermination of genes in the T-box leader family. T-boxes are found upstream of many aminoacyl-tRNA synthetase genes and some amino acid biosynthetic genes usually in Gram-positive bacteria. Lineage: Bacteria; Bacillati; Bacillota; Negativicutes; Acetonemataceae. The record is from RNAcentral.